UUUUUUUUUUUUUGGAAACACGUGCAGGUCACGUGAUCCUACGGGAUUUUUUUUUACUUACUGGAUGUGAACCCGGGUUAACGGGUUUGGGGUAACGGGUUUAGAACUUACCCGUUACCACCCGUAUCCUUCUUCAACCUCCCGAACGAUUCGGGAGGGCGUUCCGGCCGCUUCGGUGGUGGUUGCGGAACGGCCGAACGGCAAUGUGACGGUGGCUCCGUUGUCGGCGGCGACAGGCGGUGGCUGGUCGUGGUGGCGGCCGGAAUCUUGCGCGCGGUGGUCGGCGGGUGCGUCGACAGUGCCGAGGGACAAGGUGGCCAACAGAUCGGCGACGCUCUUCCUCUUUCCGGCAGCGGGAGUCACACGCGGUCCUUCAACGCGCUCCGGUGUCCGUGGUCGACGUACGGCGUAAUACUCGUGCGGCCACAGAAAUCCAGGAAUCCGGCGACGCUCGGCCAUACACCGGUGGUGCCACGAUGGUGAAGACGCGGCAGAGGUGGUGGUGGCGUCGGUUGCAGGCUCCGGUGGAGGGCCAGAGGCGGCGCUGCAGGGAGGCCUCCGGGGAAUCUGAAGGAAAGAAGUGGUUGCGGCAGGGAGGGGCACAGUGGAACUGCUCGGCCACGGGGGAGCUUCCUUUUUUUUUUUUUUUUGCUCUGGUGAAAACACAGACCGAGAGAGAGGAAGGUUUGGAUGCGGGUGGCUGUCGAUCUGGGUCUUCACAGACUCGGCAGUGACCCCCCUUCUUUUUUUUUUGGUGAGCGGACUGACAGAGGAAAGGGGCCUGUUCUUGUUGUUGAUGGUAACCGAGGGAAAGAAAACUGUUGAUGGAUCGGGGCUUUGGCAGUAGAAGCAAAACCGAUUGCUCUGAUACCAAGNN
This 877-nucleotide long non-coding RNA is filed under the name Phoenix dactylifera (date palm). RNAcentral's name for it is "long non-coding RNA (PDAC_LNC005509)". The record is from RNAcentral. Lineage: Eukaryota; Viridiplantae; Streptophyta; Magnoliopsida; Arecales; Arecaceae.